GACGAACGCUGGCGGCGUGCUUAACACAUGCAAGUCGAACGGAAAGGCCCUGCUUUUGUGGGGUGCUCGAGUGGCGAACGGGUGAGUAACACGUGAGUAACCUGCCCUUGACUUUGGGAUAACUUCAGGAAACUGGGGCUAAUACCGGAUAGGAGCUCCUGCUGCAUGGUGGGGGUUGGAAAGUUUCGGCGGUUGGGGAUGGACUCGCGGCUUAUCAGCUUGUUGGUGGGGUAGUGGCUUACCAAGGCUUUGACGGGUAGCCGGCCUGAGAGGGUGACCGGCCACAUUGGGACUGAGAUACGGCCCAGACUCCUACGGGAGGCAGAAGUGGGGAAUAUUGCACAAUGGGCGGAAGCCUGAUGCAGCAACGCCGCGGGCGGGAUGACGGCCUUCGGGUUGGAAACCGCUUUCGCCUGUGACGAAGCGUGAGUGACGGUAAGGGGGAAAGAAGCACCGGCUAACUACGUGC
RNAcentral lists this ribosomal RNA (469 nucleotides) under uncultured bacterium. Its description in RNAcentral is "partial 16S ribosomal RNA". It matches the Rfam family "Bacterial small subunit ribosomal RNA", at positions 28 to 508 of the family's 1533-position model. The record is from RNAcentral.